GGAGAAGCUGCCUGUGGCUGAGAGCUUGUGUGUUUGGGGAGGUGCUCUCAGCCUGUCAUAUGCACUUCUCAAUCUUCUAGAAAGAAACCCAAAAAAGAAAGCAGACGACGACCUCGGGACAGAGGAGAAAAAUCCCAAGUGUUCACACAGUUACACGGAGUCUUUAUGGCAAAGAGAACAUUUAGCAGCUUUGAAUAUUGGGCAUCUCCUUUUUACUCAACACAAGCAUUCUAGACCCUAUAAAGGACUAGUUCUUUUGUUGUUGCUGGGUUGUGUAAUUUUUUGUGUUUUCCCAGUGAUAAGCCCAGUUGUUGGUAGGCAGAGGCCCGAGGGAAGGGUGACUCCCCAGUGUUGUGCUGAAUCCUGCCUGGAGGCUGCUACACUAGAUUCUCCAUCAUUCCUCUGCCUCACAGCAGUCCCAGAAGAGGAAGGCUGCAGGCCCAGUUCCCGGAGCACUGCCAUCACCCUACCCCAGCUUACAGAAGAGCUCAGGGGUGGCUGGAGCACGGAGGGAGAUGGAGUGGCAAGGCAGUGAAUGACAUGCGUGAUGUUGGGGCUGUUGCAACAUGGGACCACGUGACCCUUUCCUGUUCACUCUACCCUUUGACUCUAAAUCUCAAAGCCAGUGUUGGGGCCCAGUGGCUCCAUUCGAUUGAAACAUGGCCAAUGAUAUCCAAGAGCUCCCCUUCAGGGAUGUCAA
This 700-nucleotide long non-coding RNA is filed under the name Homo sapiens (human). Its description in RNAcentral is "HSALNT0241853". The record is from RNAcentral. Lineage: Eukaryota; Metazoa; Chordata; Mammalia; Primates; Hominidae.